RNAcentral lists this ribosomal RNA (1387 nucleotides) under Bacillus swezeyi. RNAcentral's name for it is "bacterial SSU rRNA". It matches the Rfam family "Bacterial small subunit ribosomal RNA", at positions 12 to 1369 of the family's 1533-position model. The record is from RNAcentral. Lineage: Bacteria; Bacillati; Bacillota; Bacilli; Caryophanales; Bacillaceae.
UUUUUUUUCUGCUCAGGACGAACGCUGGCGGCGUGCCUAAUACAUGCAAGUCGAGCGGACCGACGGGAGCUUGCUCCCUUAGGUCAGCGGCGGACGGGUGAGUAACACGUGGGUAACCUGCCUGUAAGACUGGGAUAACUCCGGGAAACCGGGGCUAAUACCGGAUGCUUGAUUGAACCGCAUGGUUCAAUCAUAAAAGGCGGCUUCGGCUGCCGUUUACAGAUGGACCCGCGGCGCAUUAGCUAGUUGGUGAGGUAACGGCUCACCAAGGCGACGAUGCGUAGCCGACCUGAGAGGGUGAUCGGCCACACUGGGACUGAGACACGGCCCAGACUCCUACGGGAGGCAGCAGUAGGGAAUCUUCCGCAAUGGACGAAAGUCUGACGGAGCAACGCCGCGUGAGUGAUGAAGGUUUUCGGAUCGUAAAGCUCUGUUGUUAGGGAAGAACAAGUACCGUUCGAAUAGGGCGGUACCUUGACGGUACCUAACCAGAAAGCCACGGCUAACUACGUGCCAGCAGCCGCGGUAAUACGUAGGUGGCAAGCGUUGUCCGGAAUUAUUGGGCGUAAAGCGCGCGCAGGCGGUUUCUUAAGUCUGAUGUGAAAGCCCCCGGCUCAACCGGGGAGGGUCAUUGGAAACUGGGGAACUUGAGUGCAGAAGAGGAGAGUGGAAUUCCACGUGUAGCGGUGAAAUGCGUAGAGAUGUGGAGGAACACCAGUGGCGAAGGCGACUCUCUGGUCUGUAACUGACGCUGAUGGCAGCGGAAAGCGUGGGUGAGCGAACAGGAUUAGAUACCCUGGUAGUCCACGCCGUAAACGAUGAGUGCUACUGGUUGUUAGAGGGUUUCUGCCCUUUCAUUGGCUGCAGCAAACGCAUUAAGCUAAUUAUUCACCCCGGGGGGAGUACGCGCCCAAGGGAAAAACUCUAAAAGAAUUGGGGGGGCCCCCCCAAGGGGGGGGUAAUGUGUUUUAAUUUUGAAAAACGCGGAAAAACCCUCCCCCUUUUUUGAUUUCUGAAAAACUUAAAAAAUUUGGGGUUGCCCGAAAGAGGGCCUGGUGACGGGUGGUGCAUGGCUGUCCUCGCCUCGUGUCGUGAGAUGUUGGGUUAAGUCCCGCAACGAGCCCAACCCUUGUUGUUAGUUGCUCCUAUUGGGAACUCUACUCUGACUGCCGGUGACAACCCAGAGGAAGGUGGGGAUGACGUCAAAUCAUCACGGCCCUUACCUCUUGGGCUACACACGUCAUACAAUGGCCGGUACAGAAAGCAGCCAACCGGAGACGGGGAGCCAAUCCAAUAAACCAGAUCCGUUUCCGGUUCGGAUCUUGCACUGCAACUUGUCGAAGUGAGACUGCAUUUUAUCGGAUUUUCGGAUUGUCCCGGUGAAUAC